CUCCUUUCAGAUCCCUACAAAGUUAAAAGAGGCAUUGAGAAUUGCCAAAGAAUGUAUAGAGAAGAGACUAAUUGAGGAACAGAAACAGGUAAAUUGAUAACGGUUCCUCUUUGCCUUUUAGUGUCCCCAUCCUCUGCCGUGGUUUUUAUAGUGAUUGACCUUUGACUGUUCCCUCUGCAAAUAUUUUAAGCAUACUUACUCUCAGCCAGCCUUUAGGCUAAAUGCUUCCCUGCAGAGCUGAAUACUUGACAGUCCUGCCCUCAGUCCUGCCUAGUCUAUGUGGGAAACAAACAUGUCCAGGAAGGGCAGUCUGGGUUUCUGAUCAGAGCAUGCCGGCCGGUGAUAGUUGCGGGCAUGCAUGGUCCAUGCCUGGAGUGCAGUGGCGCGAUCUCGGCUCACUGCAAGCUCUACCUCCUGGGUUCACGCCAUUCUCCUGCCUUAGUGAAUUCUUUCUGAAAGGUUUUCAAUUUACAAGAUCCAUCAGAGGAAUCACUAUAGCCUUAUGAAGUGCAUUUCUUCUUCUUUUUUUUUUUUUUUUUGAGUCUCAUUCUGUCACCCUGGCUGGAGUGAAAACAACAUGUUAAUCUUUUUGUACGUCUUACAGAUCUCCUUGGGUGAUCAUGUGCACUGUCGAUAAGCACUAAUCUUUUGAAAGGGAUCUUUUUUCUGAGCAGUAGUUCUCAACAGUAGGCUUAAGAUAUUCAGUAAACCUUACAUUUCCACUGGCAGAACAGGCAUCCCACUUCUACCACUCAUUAGCUGUGUGACUUUGAGCUUAUUGCUUGUGACUAUUAUGGGAAUAAUAGUAGUGCUCAUCUCAUAGGGCUGUGAUGAGGGCUCAGUGAGUUAAUGUUUGUAAAGCUGCUCACUCGGUGUCUGCCACAUAGUAAGUG
RNAcentral lists this long non-coding RNA (893 nucleotides) under Homo sapiens (human). Its description in RNAcentral is "HSALNT0055142". Lineage: Eukaryota; Metazoa; Chordata; Mammalia; Primates; Hominidae. The record is from RNAcentral.